Molecule: small nuclear RNA, 355 nt
Filed under: Eptatretus burgeri (inshore hagfish)
Lineage: Eukaryota; Metazoa; Chordata; Myxini; Myxiniformes; Myxinidae
Description: 7SK RNA (ENSEBUG00000000206.1)
Rfam family: 7SK RNA
About the family: 7SK was discovered as an abundant small nuclear RNA in the mid-70s but a possible function has only recently been suggested. Two independent studies have found that 7SK RNA binds the CDK9/cyclin T complex (known as elongation factor P-TEFb). P-TEFb activates transcription by phosphorylating the C-terminal domain of RNA polymerase II.
Source: Rfam by way of RNAcentral
GGAUGUGCCGGUGGAAUUGGCUGCGACUCCCAUUAUACCACCAUUGAUCGCUAGCGUUGGUUAGAUCGGCUGAUCUGGUUGGUAAGCAGGCGACGUCCCCCGUUCCCCGCACGGAUCCGCGUCCGGUCUCGCCGAUGCCCCGCGCUCGGAGGGGCCGAGAGGCUUAUCGCACCGCACCACCGCACGCACCACGCGACACGGCGCACGGGUUUAAAUAACGGAGCUGCGAGUACCCCCCGCCUAGACCAAACAAGGGAGACGAGACGGCGAUGGCCAAGGAGAGAGGGGCAAGAAGCGCUUCAUACAUACACAUUGCACAUCCAACGCGGCGCUGCACGUGGCAGUUUGCCUUGUU